AGUGAACGCUGGCGGUAGACCUAACACAUGCAAGUCGAACGGCAGCACAGUAAGAGCUUGCUCUUACGGGUGGCGAGUGGCGGACGGGUGAGGAAUACAUCGGAAUCUACUUUUUCGUGGGGGAUAACGUAGGGAAACUUACGCUAAUACCGCAUACGACCUACGGGUGAAAGCAGGAGAUCUUCGGACCUUGCGCGAUUGAAUGAGCCGAUGUCGGAUUAGCUAGUUGGCGGGGUAAAGGCCCACCAAGGCGACGAUCCGUAGCUGGUCUGAGAGGAUGAUCAGCCACACUGGAACUGAGACACGGUCCAGACUCCUACGGGAGGCAGCAGUGGGGAAUAUUGGACAAUGGGCGCAAGCCUGAUCCAGCCAUACCGCGUGGGUGAAGAAGGCCUUCGGGUUGUAAAGCCCUUUUGUUGGGAAAGAAAAGCAGCAGGUUAAUACCCCGCUGUUCUGACGGUACCCAAAGAAUAAGCACCGGCUAACUUCGUG
RNAcentral lists this ribosomal RNA (492 nucleotides) under uncultured bacterium. RNAcentral's name for it is "partial 16S ribosomal RNA". It matches the Rfam family "Bacterial small subunit ribosomal RNA", at positions 29 to 507 of the family's 1533-position model. The record is from RNAcentral.